This 721-nucleotide ribosomal RNA is filed under the name Cellulosimicrobium sp. RNAcentral's name for it is "bacterial SSU rRNA". It matches the Rfam family "Bacterial small subunit ribosomal RNA", at positions 9 to 742 of the family's 1533-position model. The record is from RNAcentral. Lineage: Bacteria; Bacillati; Actinomycetota; Actinomycetes; Micrococcales; Promicromonosporaceae.
GAGUUUGAUCCUGGCUCAGGACGAACGCUGGCGGCGUGCUUAACACAUGCAAGUCGAACGAUGAUGCCCAGCUUGCUGGGUUGAUUAGUGGCGAACGGGUGAGUAACACGUGAGUAACCUGCCCCUGACUUUGGGAUAACUCCGGGAAACCGGGGCUAAUACCGGAUAUGAGCCGUCCUCGCAUGGGGGUGGUUGGAAAGUUUUUCGGUCAGGGAUGGGCUCGCGGCCUAUCAGCUUGUUGGUGGGGUGAUGGCCUACCAAGGCGACGACGGGUAGCCGGCCUGAGAGGACGACCGGCCACACUGGGAUUGAGACACGGCCCAGACUCCUACGGGAGGCAGCAGUGGGGAAUAUUGCACAAUGGGCGCAAGCCUGAUGCAGCGACGUCGCGUGAGGGAUGAAGGCCUUUGGGUUGUAAACCUCUUUCAGCAGAGAAGAAGCGCAAGUGACGGUACGAGCAGAAGAAGCACUGGCUAACUACGUGCCAGCAGCCGCGGUAAUACGUAGGGCGCAAGCGUAAUCCGGAAUUAUUGGGCGUAAAGAGCUCGUAGGCGGUUUGUCGCGUUUGGUGUGAAAUCUAGAGGCUCAACCUCGAGCUUGCAUCGGGUACGGGCAGACUAGAGUGCGGUAGGGGAGACUGGAAUUCCUGGAGUAUGCGGUCGAAUGCACAGGAAUCAGGACCCUCGAUGCCAAGAUUGAACCGGCUCAGGAAUAGAACCUG